This 73-nucleotide transfer RNA is filed under the name Clostridiales bacterium. Its description in RNAcentral is "tRNA-Lys". It matches the Rfam family "tRNA". From Rfam's summary of the family: Transfer RNA (tRNA) molecules are approximately 80 nucleotides in length. Their secondary structure includes four short double-helical elements and three loops (D, anti-codon, and T loops). Lineage: Bacteria; Bacillati; Bacillota; Clostridia; Eubacteriales. The record is from RNAcentral.
GGGUCAUUAGCUCAGCUGGUAGAGCACUGGACUUUUAAUCCAGGCGUCCCGGGUUCGAGCCCCGGAUGACUCA